CCUACGGGAGGCAGCAGUGAGGAAUAUUGGUCAAUGGGCGAGAGCCUGAACCAGCCAAGUCGCGUGAAGGAUGACGGCCCUACGGGUUGUAAACUUCUUUUGUCAGGGAGCAAUUGGGUCCACGCGUGGGCUUAGCGAAAGUACCUAAAAAAAAAGAAUGGGCUAACUCCGUCCCAGCACCCGCGGUAAUCCGGGGGAUGCGAGCGUUAUCCGGUUUUAUGGGGUUUAAAGGGUGCGUGGGCGGAAGAUCAAGUCAGCGGUAAAAAUUCGGGGCUCAACCCCGUCGUGCCGUUGAAACUGAUGUUCUUGAGUGGGCGAGAAGUAUGCGGAAUG
RNAcentral lists this ribosomal RNA (333 nucleotides) under uncultured bacterium. Its description in RNAcentral is "partial 16S ribosomal RNA". It matches the Rfam family "Bacterial small subunit ribosomal RNA", at positions 338 to 668 of the family's 1533-position model. The record is from RNAcentral.